Molecule: transfer RNA, 85 nt
Filed under: Felis catus (domestic cat)
Lineage: Eukaryota; Metazoa; Chordata; Mammalia; Carnivora; Felidae
Rfam family: tRNA
About the family: Transfer RNA (tRNA) molecules are approximately 80 nucleotides in length. Their secondary structure includes four short double-helical elements and three loops (D, anti-codon, and T loops).
Source: Rfam by way of RNAcentral
GCCUGGGUGGCUUGGUCGGUUAAGCAUCUGACUUCGGCUCAGGUCAUGAUCUCACGGUCCGUGAGUUCGAGCCUCGCGUCGGGCU